Molecule: ribosomal RNA, 443 nt
Filed under: uncultured bacterium
Lineage: Bacteria
Description: partial 16S ribosomal RNA
Rfam family: Bacterial small subunit ribosomal RNA
Source: RNAcentral
CCUACGGGUGGCAGCAGUGGGGAAUAUUGGGCAAUGGGCGCAAGCCUGACCCAGCAACGCCGCGUGAAGGAAGAAGGCUUUCGGGUUGUAAACUUCUUUUCUCAGGGACGAAGCAAGUGACGGUACCUGAGGAAUAAGCCACGGCUAACUACGUGCCAGCAGCCGCGGGAAUACGUAGGUGGCAAGCGUUAUCCGGAUUUACUGUGUGUAAAGGGUGUGUAGGCGGGACUGCAAGUCAGAUGUGAAAACAACGGGCUUAACCUGUGGACUGCGUGUGAAACUGUAGUUCUUGAGUACUGGAGAGGCAGACGGAAUUCCUAGUGUAGCGGUGAAAUGCGUAGAUAUUAGGAGGAACACCAGUGGCGAAGGCGGUCUGCUGGACAGCAACUGACGCUGAGGCGCGAAAGCGUGGGGAGCAAACAGGAUGAGAUACCCGAGUAGUC